Long non-coding RNA from Pleuronectes platessa (European plaice), 569 nucleotides. RefSeq lists it as uncharacterized. The transcript is spliced from 3 exons. The record is from RefSeq and is a predicted model, not a curated record. Lineage: Eukaryota; Metazoa; Chordata; Actinopteri; Pleuronectiformes; Pleuronectidae.
UCAGUUUCAUUUUCCUUGAAAUCAAUUUGACAGGUGUCAGCUCUUUCUCAGGCGUCUCCCAGUCUCACUGUUGGUUUGACCCUGAGCUGUGUCUCCGUCUCCAGCUCCAAUCUGAUCGACUUCUCCACUGAAGAUGGAUCCAGUUGAUGAAAUCAUACGGCUGUUAUGUUAUUUAUUCCCUUACAACCAAAUCAACACUAAACUGCAACGUCCACCUGGUGCCGUGGAGAAAGCUGGACUAUUGGCCUUUGCUGGAGCGUUGGCUUGGGGUCCUGUUGGUCUUCUUGUGGGUGGAGCGGUUGGAGGAGUGGCUGGCCUCUUGCAGAACCAGGAUGAUUUCAAACCGCUGCCUCAGGUCUUAAAGAACCUCAGUGAUGAGAAGAAGCAGGAUCUUUAUUAUCAUCUCAGGCUCGUCCUGAGAAACCUUCCAUGGACAGAUUUUGACGAACUGCAUUCUCUGGUGUUGGCUGAUGAUAUCCUGAAGCAGCAGAUUCUCGAAGCUCUCACCCAGUUUUUCAAAAAUAUAUAUGGAGGCUGAGACAUACUGCCCACAAGAUGUGAUCUGUUUG